This 381-nucleotide long non-coding RNA is filed under the name Eucalyptus grandis. RNAcentral describes it as "long non-coding RNA (EGRA_LNC006144)". The record is from RNAcentral. Lineage: Eukaryota; Viridiplantae; Streptophyta; Magnoliopsida; Myrtales; Myrtaceae.
GCCGUCACCGCAAAGAAAGACAAUAAGAGAUCGAAACGGAGCAAAUCCAGAGGAACGCGGAAAACCGCAGCAGCUCGAGGAGAAGCCCCAAAAAACAAAAAGCAAAAAAAAAAAUUCAAAGAGGAGGGAGGAAGGGACCGAGGUAAAUCUCGCCGAACGAUCCGCUGCCGAUCUUGCGGCCGAGCCGGAACUUGUUGCCGACGCGGGGCUCCAUGGAGGCGGAGGCGGAGGCGGAGGCGGAGGCGGCGGCGGCGAUCGGCGGCCGGGAAACCCUAACGCUGCGUGCGGGAGAGGCGACCGCUGAAUGAAAUUCUAUCUCUCCAUCAAAGGCGCCAGGGAGGGGAAGGACAAAGACGCUAGAGAGAGAAAGUGGGUGUGGGU